GUUGGACACACAGGAACAGAGGGGUUGAGGGUCCUGCUCAAUGAGCUUACAUGCAAGAGGGAGUGGGGUAAAGUGACACAAAAGGUAGCAGUUGCAAGAGAGGAAUCAGUCGGGAGCUAUUAACAGUUUAAUCAAUACGCUUUUAUGACGAAGUGGGUUUUUAAUGAUUUUUUGAAGGACUGGAGACUGGGUGAGCAUAUAACGGAGGAGGGAAGUAAGUUCCACAGGAAUGAUGCAGCCCUCGAGAAGUCUUGAAGGCGAGCAUCAGAGGUGGGAGUACGGACAGAAAAUAGACAUAAGUCUUCAGCAGAGCGUAAGGCCCUAGACGGGACAUACUUGUGUAUUAGGGAGGAUAGAUAGGUGGGAGCAGCAUUAUGUAGAGAUUUGAAAGCAAGAACUAGAAUUUUAAAUCGGGCCCUAUAUUUUACAGGAAGCCAAUGUAGGGACUGAUAGAAGGGUGAGGCGUGGGAGGUGCGGGCGGACAGGAAGAUGAGCCUCGCCGCCUCAUUCAUUAUGGACUGUAACCGUGCAAGUUGGGAGCACAUAAGACCACUG
This is a non-coding RNA of Pelobates cultripes (western spadefoot toad), 555 nucleotides long. The record is from the annotation of a GenBank genome assembly. NCBI's taxonomy places the organism in Eukaryota, Metazoa, Chordata, Amphibia, Anura, Pelobatidae.